GAUGAACGCUGGCGGCGUGCCUAAUACAUGCAAGUCGAGCGAACGGACGAGAAGCUCGCUUCUCUGAUGUUAGCGGCGGACGGGUGAGUCACACGUGGAUAACCUACCUAUAAGACUGGGAUAACUUCGCGAAACCGGAGCUAAUACCGGAUAAUAUUUUGAACCGCAUGGUUCAAAAGUAAAAGACGGUCUUGCUGUCACUUAUAGAUGGAUCCGCGCUGCAUUAGCUAGUUGGUAAGGUAACGGCUUACCAAGGCAACGAUGCAUAGCCGACCUGAGAGGGUGAUCGGCCACACUGGAACUGAGACACGGUCCAGACUCCUACGGGAGGCAGCAGUAGGGAAUCUUGCGCAAUGGGCGAAAGCCUGACGGAGCAACGCCGCGUGAGUGAUGAAGGUCUUCGGAUCGUAAAACUCUGUUAUUAGGGAAGAACAUAUGUGUAAGUAACUGUGCACAUCUUGACGGUACCUAAUCAGAAAGCCACGGCUAACUACGUG
Molecule: ribosomal RNA, 497 nt
Filed under: uncultured bacterium
Lineage: Bacteria
Description: partial 16S ribosomal RNA
Rfam family: Bacterial small subunit ribosomal RNA
Source: RNAcentral